This 429-nucleotide ribosomal RNA is filed under the name Actinomycetes bacterium. Its description in RNAcentral is "Actinobacteria bacterium partial 16S ribosomal RNA". It matches the Rfam family "Bacterial small subunit ribosomal RNA", at positions 355 to 776 of the family's 1533-position model. The record is from RNAcentral. Lineage: Bacteria; Bacillati; Actinomycetota; Actinomycetes.
UAGGGAAUCUUCCGCAAUGGGCGAAAGCCUGACGGAGCAACGCCGCGUGAGUGAUGAAGGUCUUCGGAUCGUAAAACUCUGUUAUUAGGGAAGAACAAAUGUGUAAGUAACUAUGCACGUCUUGACGGUACCUAAUCAGAAAGCCACGGCUAACUACGUGCCAGCAGCCGCGGUAAUACGUAGGUGGCAAGCGUUAUCCGGAAUUAUUGGGCGUAAAGCGCGCGUAGGCGGUUUGUUAAGUCUGAUGUGAAAGCCCACGGAUCAACCGUGGAGGGUCAUUGGAAACUGGAGAACUUGAGUGCAGAAGAGGAAAGUGGAAUUCCAUGUGUAGCGGUGAAAUGCGCAGAGAUAUGGAGGAACACCAGUGGCGAAGGCGACUUUCUGGUCUGUAACUGACGCUGAUGUGCGAAAGCGUGGGGAUCAAACAGG